GGGCUAGCGUUGCUCGGAAUCACUGGGCGUAAAGCGCACGUAGGCGGCUUGCUAAGUCAGGGGUGAAAUCCUGGAGCUCAACUCCAGAACUGCCUUUGAUACUGGCGAUCUUGAGUCCGGGAGAGGUGAGUGGAACUGCGAGUGUAGAGGUGAAAUUCGUAGAUAUUCGCAAGAACACCAGUGGCGAAGGCGGCUCACUGGCCCGGUACUGACGCUGAGGUGCGAAAGCGUGGGGAGCAAACAGG
Molecule: ribosomal RNA, 245 nt
Filed under: uncultured bacterium
Lineage: Bacteria
Description: partial 16S ribosomal RNA
Rfam family: Bacterial small subunit ribosomal RNA
Source: RNAcentral